Mytilus californianus (California mussel) is the source of this 6472-nucleotide long non-coding RNA. RefSeq lists it as uncharacterized. The record is from RefSeq and is a predicted model, not a curated record. Lineage: Eukaryota; Metazoa; Mollusca; Bivalvia; Mytilida; Mytilidae. The transcript has 2 exons.
AAAUUCAUUUCAUAAUGUUUUGUUGUUUUUGAGAAUUUUGUGUUGGUGAUAAAUCUUUGAUAUUUUGUAAUCAAUUUGUUCACUUAUUCAAUUUAUAAUGUAUUUAUAAUACGUUUUGGAACUGGCGCAUUACUGUGUGACGGAGUUAAACUAGUUGUCCUAGAAUUAAACCAUUCCCUAAAACAGAUGUAUUGCCUGGAAAAGUUGACAAUUAAAGUAUGGUAAAUGGUUUUACUAGUUUAAUAGUGUGAAUCGCCAAAACUAGAAACAUAAGGACAAUACUGAAAUAGUAAUUACAAUACGGAUUGUUUGAUAAUCUCACGAAACAAACAUAGUUUACCAUUGAACAAAAAUUUAAAUGCACAAAAUAAAAAUCAAAAAUCAAAUAUAAAGCAGCAGACAGUCACAUGCAUAUAAACAGUUAUAAUAAUAUAAACAGUACCAAUUUUACUGCACCAGAUGAGCAUUUCGACAAUUACUGUCUGUUCAGUGAUGCUUGAGGCCAAAAUAUUUUGAAAGUCCACAACCAAAUACAAAUGUUGAAGAAUGUACAAGUAUAUAAAAAAAAAAUCUAAGUUUCUUAUAUAAAUUCAUAAUUUAUAUAGUGAUAAAUGUUCAAAAACAUAGUAAUCAAGUUGCACUUGAAAAAUAAGUCCUUAAUGAAAAUAUGACUAAAUAUAUAUGAUAUAUGAUAUAACGGAAAGUAUCGAAUUGGUCAUUUCCUGUCUUAAUAACUGUAUACGACCAAUAUGGUUUUACAAUAAAUAUAAGUACUUAACAUUUAUAUGUAUCAUUUACUUAUAUUUGACAUCAAAUAUUUUGAUAAAUAUUAAAGUAAUAUGGUUAUUCGUGUUCGUGGAUUAUUAGAGCCAAACUGUCAUUUUACAUAUAAAAACCUUCAUUUAGUUUCUAUUUCUCGUGUGUUUAUUAUUUUAUUCUUAUUCAGUAAGCGGUCUUAAUGUUGUUACUACUGACACAAAAUACAAUGAUUGAAUAGUACUAAUAUGUAUCAAAUGAGAACAGAGAUUGCCUUUUUUUCUUCACUUCAAACCAAAAUGAGAAAUUCGCCAAACUAUGAAGUGUUUUCUUUUUUUAUAAUACUGUUGAAUACAAAAGAUAUGAAGUUUCUGAAAAAAAACUUGUAUAUCAAUUUUAAACGUUGAGUAAGCCAAAUAAACAUUACGGCAUAAAGUCACAAUCGAUUUAAUAUUCAGGGUUAUUUUGCCUGACUAAACUUGGAAAGAACAUAUAUUAUUUCAAAACAGGUCCAGAAAAAGAGACACUUAAAAUAUUCAGCUUCCGUCACAUGUGUACAAAGAAACAUAGGCAUGAUAUACCACAUUUUAAAGUUAGAAGGAAAUGAUAAAAUGGGCGUUAAUUUUGAAAUAAUCCCACUGUUUCUUAAAGAAGGAGCGAGAUCGGGUGCGUCCACUUGGUAAUCUUCUGAUGCUCAAAUUCACUAAAAUUGUUGACUAAGCAGGUUAUCAAGUUUAUGAAUAAAAAUGAUUUAUCUAGUUGUACACACUCAUUGGUAUGUUCAAGGCCAGAUGAUUCCUAUUAAAGUCCCAGGUAAUGACAUUUAACCAAUAAAGUGUCGUGAUUUGUUGUAAAUAUUUAUCGGUAUCUAUCUGUUGUAGUGACGUAGGCGUUCUUUAGACCUUUCGUCAACAAUAAUUUAUUGUAAUGACGUAGCGAUAUUUCUUGCGUAUUGAUGUGAUGAAUAUUUACUGAAUUAAAUCUUUUUAUAAUUUUGUAGAAAAUUUAACGUUAACACCCAAUUUGUACUUUGCCAACCCAUCAAAUAAGGAACACCACCUUAUUUAAUUGAUAUUAAAUUUUUUUUUCAUACCAUUCACAAUUGUGGGUGUGUUUUAUAAAUUAGUAAAAAUCUAAAACCCACUUCAGAAACAGUUUAAAGGCAUAAAGUACUUUAUAACGAGUGCAAAUGUGUUAUUUGAAUAUUUGUUUUUCAUACUAUUCAUAUUUGUACCUAUGUAAAUUCGUUUCAAUAAAAGUUCACGUUUUAAUAUAUAAAUUGGAUGCAUUCCAAAGUAGAACUAUGAAUUUAUGAACAAGCUGGAGGAUGUUUCGGGAAAAGGAGAUUUACACAUUACUUUUCAUCGAAAUUGUUACUUCUGCUAAAUUUUCAGUUAUAAUUAGAAUUCGAGAGUAACUGCAACUGUCCAUGUGUAGCUUUAACCCGAAUAAUUCAGUCGUUAUAUUCCACUGCUCUACGAUGGCUACAUUAACGAGUGGGAGAGUCGAUCACGGGGAGGGACUGAAUUAUUCGGGUUAGUGUAGCUUCAAUUUAAUAAUAAUUACUGACUCUGCUAGUGGGUCCGGAAGCUUUGUGCAAGAUUUAACCACUGAGUUAAUAAAAAAAAAAUAUAAAUAAAUUCGUAGAACGAAAUUGGCAUAUUCAUAUGUAUAGGUAUUAAAAAAAGUUUAACAACAGACUUAUAUCAAUUGUUUGGUUGGUUAAUCAUUUCAUAGUAUUGCAAUAUACACCAUAGCCCCUUUCAUUAAAGUUAUUAUCUGCCAAACAAAAACAUAAAAAAAUAAAUACCUGUUUCCUAAGAGCAAUGCUUCAAUUCUAACUAUUGCGAACAAGAUCUCAAGAAAUGCAACAAUACAUGUGAGAUAUAGAUACUAAAACCCCUUAAGAAUAAAUAUGAACAUUUAUUUUGCCAAAUAUACUCUGAUAUUUUAGUAUCAAUGCAUUAUUGUGGAUAAACGUACAACUUCUUCCAGAUGACUAUAUUUUCCCUCGAUACUUUCGUUGUAGGCAAACAGAAGACGGUGCCGAAUCAUUUAGUUAAACUUUAAGAUGUAAUUUUUCCAAUAAAGAUGAAAUAAACAUAUUUGAUGGCCUAUGUGAUAAAAAUUCAAUAUUAUAUUUAUGAAUUUAAAUUUGAAACAAUAAGUAAUUUUGUUUUUUUUAACAGCAAGUUAUGCGGACUUUAACUGAUUUCACCGUUAACACCUGCCUCUUAUUAGAAACUAAAAAAUCGAACAAAACGAAACAGUUGUACGUUAAAGUGUCUAUCAAGAGGAUAUCAUGACAAUUCAUUAAACUGAAAAAUAAUAAACACAUCGACAUUCAAAUAACAAUAUAAUGUAUAACAUAGUUUGACAGAAACUGUAUAUAAAAAAAUUAGAUGUGUGAUAAUGAGACGGUAAACCAGAGGACAAUAAUAACCAAGAAACAUUUAUAGAGCAACAUACCUUUUGAAACAACAUACAGAUGUCCAUACAAUAUGUCCAGCUCUAAUUCGUCCCGUGUCUAUAAAAUUAGUAAUAAAUUGAAUAGAAACUAUCAAACAACUGGCUUAGUUUCCAAAUAGCAAAAUAAGUCAGAUGCAUGCAUAUAUGACAUAAAACAAUCACUGACAAAUAUUUCCGAAAUCGGGACAGACUAAUGAAUAUGUGGCGGGAUUGUACUAUGUUUUUGGGAAUCUCAAUCUUCUCCUUUUUUUUUUAUCUCGAUCAGUGAGCUAACAAAUGGUUCAAAAAAGAACAUACAAUAAAAAGCAGUGCAUGGCUAGCACCAAACUCUAAAAAUAACGGAAUAACAGACAAUAAAAACACAAGUACAAAAACAUAUUUGAUAUGAUAAAUCAUGCUGAUUGUUACUUGUAUAAGUUCACGAUUUUGUUUGUUUAUAAUUAUAUAAGAUCUACAUAAUUACACAAUCCCGCCAUCUUUUCUCUCGAUUGUGAUAUGAGCGAAUGCGACUUAUCAGCGAAUUUUACUUCCGAUGAUUAACACGGUGAGUGUCACUUAUGGAACAGGAAUGGCUUACCAGUCCGGAGCAACUGAGUUUAAGUAUUGUUUUUUUUGUUUUCUUUGUAUUUUGUUGUUUGUUUUGGCCAAGAUGAUGUUUGUUUUUCUUCUAUUUAUGGUUAUUAUGUUUUCCAUCUUUCCAUACCGUAUUAAAGAAUGAAAUAGCUGAAUGGAAGCUCUAAAUAUUUUACCACCUGAUAUAAAACUAAUGCCGUUCUUCACUCAAUAUAGGUUGACGCAUUUUACAGACGAUUUCCUACAACAACGUGAUAAAAAAAAAGUACACGACAUUGUGCAAUACUUAUAUUCUUUAAGUUGUACGUUGAAGCUCUGACGAGGUUUCAAUGUUUUUUACGUGUUUUGCAAAGGGUACAAAUACAUUAAAAGUGAUACAUAUGUUUAGAGUAAAUUUUUUUGCUUAUUACUUGUAUUGUAAUUGAGUUCACGAUUUCUCGUGCAUUUUGUUUGAACCUUGAAAGACUGUUCUUCAAAUGGCACGCUAGGGUUUAUCCAAGCAAAGUUCUCUUACAAAAUCAGAAUUGUGACAGUCGUUUUCUAUUUAUUUACUAAUACUAUUAUCCCCAUUGUGUCGGUGCAUGAAUACUUCUGAUUUUUUAGAUAAAAUUGCAGUCCUUAGUCUAUUUGUGAUGUCCUAUUUUUCUAUAUCCACUGAUAACACAUGUGAUAUGUUUCUCAGAUAAAAACUAUCUGUAUAGGGGAUAUAACAAAUAUUUUUAUUUUGUUCAACAUGUUACUGAAAAAGCUCUUCCUUUUGUGUUUCCUUAAAAGAGGCUUUGGUUUUUUGCUGGAUAACAAUGUUGACAGCACUGGAGGAACAGUUCCUUCAAACAAUCAAUAUCUAACUAUAUCAGAAUUUUACGAAGAGAAGAAGGAACAGAGACACAUGACAACAGAAUUGCGCCAUGAUACAGAUCAGUUACGGAAUGACAUGGAGAAAACCUUUGCUCUUAUGACAUCACAGUUUAAAAAACAGCUUGAAAUACUUAAACAGAAUGGUUGUAGCAACAACGAAUCGUCUCAAAAUGUUAAUAUUUUAGAACAAAAAUAUAUUGAUUUGGGACAAAAUUAUCGAGAUUUAGAAGCUAACAACACUAAGUUGAGGAAUGAGUUUACCGAUUUAUUGAUGAAGUAUAAAACACAAGAGCAAGAACUGCAAUCGUUGAGAAUUAAAAUGGAAACUAAAUUUGCCUUUCAGGAAAAUGUAACCGCAGAAUUCGGCAAAGAAUUAUCCGAAUUAAAACAAUUAAAAAAUUUACAACCACUUCAAGACCUCAAUUAUAUCAAGCAGCAGCUACAGACUGUUGCCUCAGAGACACAUUCGCUCAGCGUUAAUGAACGUGCAAGGAGUCAAGACUUCUUGGCCUUGUAUAAUAAAACUGUUUACAUUGAAGAAACGACAAAUCAUAGGAUGGGAAAAUACUAGAACAUGACCAAUUUAAAAUUUAAUCAACUGGAAAAUGGUCAAAAUAUAACAUAUAACAUUCUCAACAAGAGAAUGAAGGACUUUAAAGAACAUUCAGAAACCGUGGAAAAUAGUACAUUUGCGAAUUUGAACAAAGAAGUCCAGAACAUUCAGAUGAAUUUAAACAUGUCAUUGGCUCAACUAGAACAGCAAAUAACGGAUAAUAGUAGAAAAGUUGCUGUAACAUCAUGUGUUUCAAGUGGGAAGAACUAUAACGCUCACACAUUAAUAAAGUUUGACGACGUACGUACUUCUAUUGGAAUAAAGAAUUUAUCAGCAUUUAAGACCAGCGGCAAAUUUUCGUGUGAAGUAGACGGACUGUAUCAUAUUUCUGUUCACGUUGUAUCUCACACCACAGGUUCAUACUAUUCUAUUUAUAAAAACAACAACAAAUUAAUCACAACAUAUAACGACGGUGGCGGGCAUGCCCAAACGACUGCGGGUGUUGUUGUCGUGGAGAUGAAUGUUGGUGACAAUAUAUCGGUAACUCCUGACACGAACAUGUAUAUAUAUGCGAGACACUGGUCUUGUAUCACUAUUGCAAUGAUAAAGUAAUAUAGUAUUAUUUGAAUAAAAUGUGAUAUAGGAUUUACAUUAAUGUGACAGCAAUCGAACAACACAAAUCACAUGAGAGACAAAUGCAUAAUCAUAUAACUUAAGACGACUAAUAUAAUUGUGACAGACAUGUUAACUUGACUGUACAUGUCGCAACGUUAAAAACAUUUUGAGCUGACUUAAACCUACUGACUUUCAUCUCGAGUUUAUUAGAAUAACCAAGUACAUAGAAAAACGUUAAAUAAUCUGUUUAGAAACGCUUUAUAAGACCACAAAAACACAUGCAUAAUUAAAUGCAUGUUACAAAAUGGUGUACCAAAGAACAAUCUUGUUUACAGAAAACAAACUCAAAGUACUGGUAAAACCUUCUAAUACAGAAAUAUCAUAAGCAAAGUGAUAUGAUGUUGAUUCUAAAUCUGAUUAUAGAACAUAUGAAUAAGACAUAUCAGACGAUUAAGACGAUUCUAAUUGCUGCUUUUAUUUUGCAAAUAACUUUUUACAUUUAUUAAUUUGCAAUGUAAAUAAUAUACAUAUUCACCACUGAUCGCAAUCGUUAAAAAUUGAAAUCUUAAUGGUAUUGAAAGAUGUAAUAAAUACAUUAAAUAGCUUACACAAAUAUACCUUAUAAUGUAAUAAAUCAAUUUUUUAACA